Molecule: ribosomal RNA, 497 nt
Filed under: uncultured bacterium
Lineage: Bacteria
Description: partial 16S ribosomal RNA
Rfam family: Bacterial small subunit ribosomal RNA
Source: RNAcentral
GAUGAACGCUGGCGGCGUGCCUAAUACAUGCAAGUCGAGCGAACAGACGAGGAGCUUGCUCCGCUGACGUUAGCGGCGGACGGGUGAGUAACACGUGGAUAACCUACCUAUAAGACUGGGAUAACUUCGGGAAACCGGAGCUAAUACCGGAUAAUAUAUUGAACCGCAUGGUUCCAUAGUGAAAGACGGUUUUGCUGUCACUUAUAGAUGGAUCUGCGCCGCAUUAGCUAGUUGGUAAGGUAACGGCUUACCAAGGCAACGAUGCGUAGCCGACCUGAGAGGGUGAUCUGCCACACUGGAACUGAGACACGGUCCAGACUCCUACGGGAGGCCGCAGUCUGGAAUCUUCCGCAAUGGGCGAAAGCCUGACGCAGCAACGCCCCGUGAGUGAUGAAAGUCUUGGGGUCGUAAAACUGUGUUACUAGAGAAGAACAAAUGUGGAAGUAGCUAUUCACAGCUUGACGGUACCUAGUCAGAAUGCCACGGCUAACUAUGUU